Molecule: ribosomal RNA, 253 nt
Filed under: uncultured bacterium
Lineage: Bacteria
Description: partial 16S ribosomal RNA
Rfam family: Bacterial small subunit ribosomal RNA
Source: RNAcentral
UACGAAGGGUGCAAGCGUUAUUCGGAAUCACUGGGCGUAAAGGGUGCGUAGGCGGUAUGUUAAGUUUGUCGUUAAAGACUCUAGCCUAACUGGAGGGUUGCGAUGAAAACUGGCGUACUAGAGGAUGAGAGAGAGAAGUGGAAUUCCUGGAGUAGCGGUAAAAUGCGUGGAUCUCAGGAGGAACACCAAUGGCGAAGGCAGCUUCUUGGCUCAUAUCUGACGCUGAGGCACGAAAGCGUGGGGAGCAAACAGG